Transfer RNA from Lupinus angustifolius (narrow-leaved blue lupine), 71 nucleotides. It matches the Rfam family "tRNA". Rfam says of the family: Transfer RNA (tRNA) molecules are approximately 80 nucleotides in length. Their secondary structure includes four short double-helical elements and three loops (D, anti-codon, and T loops). NCBI's taxonomy places the organism in Eukaryota, Viridiplantae, Streptophyta, Magnoliopsida, Fabales, Fabaceae. The record is from Rfam.
GUCGUUGUGGUACAGUGGUAAGUAUUCCCGCCUGUCAUGCGGGUGACCCGGGUUCGAUCCCGGUAGCAGCG